AACGCUAGCUACAGGCUUAACACAUGCAAGUCGAGGGGCAUCAGGGUAGCAAUACCGCUGGCGACCGGCGCACGGGUGAGUAACACGUAUCCAACCUACCGUUAACUCGGGGAUAGCCUUUCGAAAGAAAGAUUAAUACCCGAUAGUAUAUUUUCUUCGCAUGUUGAAAAUAUUAAAGAAUUUCGGUUAUCGAUGGGGAUGCGUUCCAUUAGGCAGUUGGCGGGGUAACGGCCCACCAAACCUACGAUGGAUAGGGGUUCUGAGAGGAAGGUCCCCCACAUUGGAACUGAGACACGGUCCAAACUCCUACGGGAGGCAGCACUGAGGAAUAUUGGUCAAUGGACGAGAGUCUGAACCAGCCAAGUAGCGUGAAGGAUGACUGCCCUAUGGGCUGUAAACUUCUUUUAUAUGGGAAUAAAGUUCUCCACGUGUGGAGUUUUGUAUGUACCAUUAUGAAUAAGCAUCGGCUAACUCCGUGCCAGCAGCCGCGGUAAUACGGAGGAUGCGAGCGUUAUCCGGAUUUAUUGGGUUUAAAGGGAGCGUAGGCCGCCCGUCAAGCGUGUUGUGAAAUGUAGAUGCUCAACAUCUGAAUUGCAGCGCGAACUGUCGGGCUUGAGUGCGCACAACGCAGGCGGAAUUCGUGGUGUAGCGGUGAAAUGCUUAGAUAUCACGAAGAACUCCGAUUG
RNAcentral lists this ribosomal RNA (686 nucleotides) under uncultured bacterium. RNAcentral describes it as "bacterial SSU rRNA". It matches the Rfam family "Bacterial small subunit ribosomal RNA", at positions 32 to 715 of the family's 1533-position model. The record is from RNAcentral.